RNAcentral lists this ribosomal RNA (409 nucleotides) under uncultured Rhizophagus. RNAcentral's name for it is "partial 28S ribosomal RNA". Lineage: Eukaryota; Fungi; Glomeromycota; Glomeromycetes; Glomerales; Glomeraceae. The record is from RNAcentral.
GAGAGUUAAACAGUACGUGAAAUUGUUGAAAGGGAAACGAUUAAAGUCAGUCGUACCUACGAGUAAUCAACCUACACGAGCGCGAUUUUGUGGGUAUGAAGAGGUAAAACCUUCAUGGUUGCAAAUUGGUGUUCUUUGGGCGUACUUUCUCGUAUGGUAGGUUAACAUCAAUUUCGAUCGUUAUAAAAUGACGGGAGGAAUGUAGCUUCGACUUCGGUUGAAGUGUUAUAGCCUCUGGUAGAUGUAAUGAUUGGGAUUGAGGAUUGCAACGGAUACCCCCUGGGCUAUUCGUCUGAUCUCUGGAAGUUACCUUGGUGUCGAAAGCGUGCUUAUGACAUUAAGAAUGACGGCCAAAAGGUUAGAACGGAAUUAAAUUCGUUAAGGAUGUUGACGUAAUGGCUUUAAACGA